AUGAGGCGAGCCACGCUGCAGAAGGGAGGCAAGGUGGGCUCUUCCAUUCCGGCACCCCGCAGAGGGGCUCCGGGGUGGCCUCCCGCCCCCGGCGCGCGCCUCACCGGCCACCUCCGGUGCUCCGCCCGCAGAACCCCUUUACCUCGGCAGGCGGCCAGCAGGGAAGGAGGCAGGUCUCCCGCCCCGCCGGGAAGGCGAAGCCGCGGCGCCGGGCCAGCUCCGGGAAGGGGCCCUCGCUCGCCCGCGCCCGCGCCCGCCGACGCCGCCCCCCCGGCUCCGGGCUCCGGCUCGGGCUCCGGCUCCGGCUCGGGCUCCGGGCUCCGUUCCGCCGUCGCCCCCCCGACGGCCGGCGCGAAGGGCAUCCGCGCCCCGACAGCCUGCGCCCUCGCAGCCGCCGCCGCUGUUGCUAGCGCACGGGUCUGGCGGGGAGCGGAACUUCCUCCUCGCGCGGCCACUGAGAAGCCCCGGCGUGUGCGGGGGGAGGGGAGGGAGGGGAGGGGAGGGGAGGGGAGCGGAGGCGCGGCGGCCGCCCCCGCCCGGCUCCUCCUCCCGCCGCCGCCGGAGCUAACCCCGCCGCCCGCCGCCCGGACGCGGCCGCCGCUGACCCCGCCGCGCCCCGCCUCGGCGGCCCGGCCCCCGCGGCUCCGAGGCGUGGGAAGAAGCCGAGCCGCGGCCCCGCGGCCCGAGAGCCCGGGGCAGGCGCCUGCUCAUUCCUCGCUCGGCGCUGAGGGGGCGGCGGCGGCGGCGGCGGCCCCGGGCGCGCAGGAGCGGCCGCGCCUCGGCCGGGCAGAGGUCGGCGGCGGCCCCGGACCCGGCCCCGGCCCCGCCGGCCUGCGCGGGGGCCUCCUCGGCGCCGCCUCGGGUCGCCCUCAGCGGCGGGCGCGGGAGAGGCGGGUGCGGGAGAGGCGGCGCGGGGCUGCGGCCCGGUCCUCGGCCCUCGGCCCCUGCCUCCCAGGCCCGCCGGGCGCACACCGCCGAGGGCCGACGCCCGUUGCGCGCAGCCUGCACGGGGCCGGGGAAGCGGGCGGGGGCGGGGGCGGGUGGCGCGGGCCGGCCUGCGCCCCGACCCGCCAGUGGGCGUCCCCGGGCGCCGAGGGUGAGGUGCGCGCGCACGCUCGCGGCCCCGCCCCGCCUGCCCGCCCGGCCCGCGCUCCGGCCUCGCGCCGCUGUGGGCUCCGCCGCCCCCCGGGGCCCCCCAGCUCCCCGCAGCCGGCUCGGCCGCUGCCAGCGCCAGUUAGCGGCGUGGACCCGGGCCUGGGGGGCGGGGGCGGGGGGCGGGCCCGGGGCGCAAAGGCCUCGCCGCAGUUGAGGCGCCGCUCAGUGACCCGGCUCUGGCCUCGAGCCCUGCUGGGUGGGCGCCUCCGCCUCCGCCUCCGCCUCCGCGGGACACGCUCGGUCCCCAGAGCGCCACGGCCGCGCCGCCCUCGCCUCGCCUCGCCUCGCCUCGCCUCGCCUCUGCUCGGGCGUGUUCCGUGCAGCCGCGUGCACGCCGCUGGGCGCCCGGGCGAGCAUCCCUGGGAGCGUCGACCACAGGCCCGCCCCGCUCUGUGCUAA
RNAcentral lists this long non-coding RNA (1554 nucleotides) under Canis lupus familiaris (dog). Its description in RNAcentral is "lncRNA (ENSCAFG00040013113.1)". Lineage: Eukaryota; Metazoa; Chordata; Mammalia; Carnivora; Canidae. The record is from RNAcentral.